This 496-nucleotide long non-coding RNA is filed under the name Mytilus galloprovincialis (Mediterranean mussel). The record is from RNAcentral. Lineage: Eukaryota; Metazoa; Mollusca; Bivalvia; Mytilida; Mytilidae.
AUUUAAUUAGAUUUUUAUGCCCCACCUACGAUAGUAGAGGGGCAUUAUGUUUUCUGGUCUGUGCGUCCGUUCGUCCGUUCGUCCGUCCGUCCGUCUGUCUGUCUGUUCGUCCGUCUGUCCCGCUUCAGGUUAAAGUUUUUGGUCAAGGUAGUUUUUGAUGAAGUUGAAGUCCAAUCAACUUGAAACUUAGUACACAUGUUCCUUAUGAUAUGAUCUUUCUAAUUUUAAAGCCAAAUUAAACUUUUGACCCCACUUUCACGGUCCACUGAACAUACAAAAUGAAAGUGCAUGUUUCAGGUUAAAGUUUUUGGUCAAGGUAGUUUUUGAUGAAGUUGAAGUCCAAUCAACUUGAAACUUAGUACACAUGUUCCCUAUGAUAUUAUCUUUCUAAUUUUAAUGUCUUAUUAUAUUUUUUAUCCAAUUUCACGGUCCAUUGAACAUGGAAAAUGAUAGUGCGAGUGGGGCAUCCGUGUACUUUGGACACAUUCUUGUUUUU